ACUUCACUUUGGAAGGAAGAAUGGAAAAUUUAAUAACAAAAUCUUAAUUCUAAUAGAAUACUAACAAUGCUCUAAUUAAACCAUAAUAAUGCUAAGUAAGCUUAAUCAAAUUCAAAAAAACCUCAAAGAAAUUUCAAACAAAUAAUAAGAAUUCUUAAAGAAACAUUAGAAAGAACACAAAUAUCACUCAAAUACAUCUCAAUUCAAUCUUAAUUUAAUUCUAAUUAAAAUCCCAUUAAACUUCAUUCAAACUUUAGGCCAAAACUAAUUGAAACUUAAAUCUUAAUAAAAUCCUAAAUCCUAAAUCAAACCCUAAACAAACUUUAAAUCAAACUCCAACCAAAUCCUAAACCAAAUCCUAAACCAAAUCCUAACCAAAUCCUAAACCAAAUCCUAAACCAAAUCCUAAACCAAAUCCUAACCAAAUCCUAAACCAAUCUUAAAUCCUAAAUCA
RNAcentral lists this long non-coding RNA (454 nucleotides) under Physcomitrium patens. RNAcentral's name for it is "long non-coding RNA (PPAT_LNC004186)". Lineage: Eukaryota; Viridiplantae; Streptophyta; Bryopsida; Funariales; Funariaceae. The record is from RNAcentral.